Molecule: long non-coding RNA, 752 nt
Filed under: Felis catus (domestic cat)
Lineage: Eukaryota; Metazoa; Chordata; Mammalia; Carnivora; Felidae
Description: lncRNA (ENSFCAG00000049468.1)
Source: RNAcentral
CUGUUGUGUAGCUAUGUUGCAGCCACACCGAGCGAAACCUAUGGGGAGCUCCUCGGCGGGGCGGCUUUGAUGAUUUCUUCAGACACAUGGAGCAGACUGACGAAUGGACUCUCAAGUGAAAGGUUGAUUCAUUGUCUUUUGGUUACCCGCCUCCUCCCCCUGCUGCGGUCAGACAUUUCAGACUUGUCAAAGAAGCAAUGGGCCUACCAAGUUGAGCAAGACAACUUCAAUUAUGAAAAUUAUGAUUGGAGAAGUUUUAGCCACCUAUCUCUUCUUCUCCCAUAAGGCACCUGGGGAGACCUGACGACUAGCUGGCCUAGGCUGUUUCUUAAUGGCUUCCUGAGGCUGCAAUGAUGCCUGCUUCCCAUACUGCAAGUGCAUUAAAGGUAGGGAUGGGGCCACUCAUGAAGUUAUGGGCUGAGUUGGGUACCGUCCAUAUUCAAUUGUUGAAAUCCCAACCCCUAGCUCUCCUCAGAAUGUAAUGAUAUCAGAGGUUAAAUUUGAAUGAGGCCGUUAAGGUGGGGCCCUCAUCCAAUGAGCAGCAUUCUUAUGAGAAGGAGAAACUAGGACACAGGUGGAGAGAUACUAGAGGUGCCUGUGAACAGAGGAUCGACCAUGUGAAGGGGGAUCCAGAGGGUAGCCAUGUUCAAGUCAACCAGAGAGGUCUCAGAGGAGACCAACUCUGUAGGCACCUUGACCUUGGACUAUCAGCUUCUUAACUGUGAGAAAAUAAAUAUCUGUUGUUUAAGCCA